Molecule: ribosomal RNA, 468 nt
Filed under: uncultured bacterium
Lineage: Bacteria
Description: partial 16S ribosomal RNA
Rfam family: Bacterial small subunit ribosomal RNA
Source: RNAcentral
GACGAACGCUGGCGGCGUGCUUAACACAUGCAAGUCGAACGGAAAGGCCCUGCUUUUGUGGGGUGCUCGAGUUGCGAACGGGUGAGUAACACGUGAGUUACCUGCCCUUGACUUUGGGAUAACUUCAUGAAACUGGGGCUAAUACCGGAUAGGAGCUCCUGCUGCAUGGUGGGGGUUGGAAAGUUUCGGCGGUUGGGGAUGGACUCGCGGCUUAUCAGCUUGUUGGUUGGGUAGUGGCUUACCAAGGCUUUGACGGGUAGCCGGCCUGAGAGGGUGACCGGACAAAUUGGGACUGAGAUGCGGCACAGACUCGUACGGGAGGCAGCAGUGGGGAAGAUUGCACAAUGGGAGGAAGCAAGAUGCAGCAACGCAGCGUGGGGGAUGACGGCAUUCGGGUUGUAUACCGAUUUCGCCUGUGACGAAGCGUGAGUGACGGUAAUGGGUAAAGAAGCACCGGCUAACUACGUG